This 389-nucleotide ribosomal RNA is filed under the name Staphylococcus aureus. Its description in RNAcentral is "bacterial SSU rRNA". It matches the Rfam family "Bacterial small subunit ribosomal RNA", at positions 1037 to 1427 of the family's 1533-position model. The record is from RNAcentral. Lineage: Bacteria; Bacillati; Bacillota; Bacilli; Caryophanales; Staphylococcaceae.
GGUGGUGCAUGGUUGUCGUCAGCUCGUGUCGUGAGAUGUUGGGUUAAGUCCCGCAACGAGCGCAACCCUUAAGCUUAGUUGCCAUCAUUAAGUUGGGCACUCUAAGUUGACUGCCGGUGACAAACCGGAGGAAGGUGGGGAUGACGUCAAAUCAUCAUGCCCCUUAUGAUUUGGGCUACACACGUGCUACAAUGGACAAUACAAAGGGCAGCGAAACCGCGAGGUCAAGCAAAUCCCAUAAAGUUGUUCUCAGUUCGGAUUGUAGUCUGCAACUCGACUACAUGAAGCUGGAAUCGCUAGUAAUCGUAGAUCAGCAUGCUACGGUGAAUACGUUCCCGGGUCUUGUACACACCGCCCGUCACACCACGAGAGUUUGUAACACCCGAAGC